UAGGGAAUCUUCCGCAAUGGGCGAAAGCUUGACGGAGCAACGCCGCGUGAGUGAUGAAGGUCUUCGGAUCGUAAAACUCUGUUAUUAGGGAAGAACAAAUGUGUAAGUAACUAUGCACGUCUUGACGGUACCUAAUCAGAAAGCCACGGCUAACUACGUGCCAGCAGCCGCGGUAAUACGUAGGUGGCAAGCGUUAUCCGGAAUUAUUGGGCGUAAAGCGCGCGUAGGCGGUUUUUUAAGUCUGAUGUAAAAGCCCACGGCUCAACCGUGGAAGGUCAUUGGAAACUGGAAAACUUGAGUGCAGAAGAGGAAAGUGGAAUUCAAUGUGUAGCGGUGAAAUGCGCAGAGAUAUGGAGGAACACCAGUGGCGAAGGCGACUUUCUGGUCUAUAACUGACGCUGAUGUGCGAAAGCGUGGGGAUCAAACAGG
Molecule: ribosomal RNA, 429 nt
Filed under: Actinomycetes bacterium
Lineage: Bacteria; Bacillati; Actinomycetota; Actinomycetes
Description: Actinobacteria bacterium partial 16S ribosomal RNA
Rfam family: Bacterial small subunit ribosomal RNA
Source: RNAcentral